This 335-nucleotide long non-coding RNA is filed under the name Physcomitrium patens. Its description in RNAcentral is "long non-coding RNA (PPAT_LNC012775)". Lineage: Eukaryota; Viridiplantae; Streptophyta; Bryopsida; Funariales; Funariaceae. The record is from RNAcentral.
AGGAGAGUACUCUGCAACCUCUAAAACGCCUUAAGACUCCAAGAUGAGGGGUAAUCCACUCUCUCCAAGAAAAAUAAGGCUCUAAUAUUGAGAAAGAAGAGAUAUCAGUUUAGAGGAGGGUAAUCCGCAACCUCUAAAACACUAGCACACCUUCAAGAAGAGGGAUAAUCCACUCUCUAACAAGAAGGAACUAGCUCUGAUACCAGUGAAAAUGUAGUCUCGACAAACUAUCACGGACACAAAAUACAAACUUGAAAUCUAACAAGAAGUUCAAGAAGAAGUGGCAGAACUAGAUUAAACAGAUGAGUACAAGAACAACACCAGAAAGGUGAGCU